GAUGAACGCUGGCGGCGUGCCUAAUACAUGCAAGUCGAGCGAACGGACGAGAAGCUUGCUUUUCUGAUGUUAGCGGCGGACGGGUGAGUAACACGUGGAUAACCUACCUAUAAGACUGGGAUAACUUCGGGAAACCGGAGCUAAUACCGGAUAAUAUUUUGAACCGCAUGGUUCAAAAGUGAAAGACGGUCUUGCUGUCACUUCUAGAUGGAUCCGCGCUGCAUUAGCUAGUUGGUAAGGUAACGGCUUACCAAGGCAACGAUGCAUAGCCGACCUGAGAGAGGGAUCGGCCACACUGGAACUGAGACACGGUCCAGACUCCUACGGGAGGCAGCAGUAGGGAAUCUUCCGCAAUGGGCGAAAGCCUGACGGAGCAACGCCGCGUGAGUGAUGAAGGUCUUCGGAUCGUAAAACUCUGUUAUUAGGGAAGAACAUAUGUGUAAGUAACUGUGAACAUCUUGACGGUACCUAAUCAGAAAGCCACGGCUAACUACGUG
This 497-nucleotide ribosomal RNA is filed under the name uncultured bacterium. RNAcentral's name for it is "partial 16S ribosomal RNA". It matches the Rfam family "Bacterial small subunit ribosomal RNA", at positions 28 to 507 of the family's 1533-position model. The record is from RNAcentral.